UGAGCGGCAAGAGCUCAAAUUUGAAAUCUGGCUCCUCCGGGGUCCGAGUUGUAAUUUGCAGAGGAUGCUUCGGGUGCGGUCCCCGUCUAAGUACCCUGGAAUGGGUCGUCAUAGAGGGUGAGAAUCCCGUCUGGGACGGGUGGCCGUGUCCGUGUGAAGCUCCUUCGACGAGUCGAGUUGUUUGGGAAUGCAGCUCUAAAUGGGUGGUAAAUUUCAUCUAAAGCUAAAUAUUGGCCGGAGACCGAUAGCGCACAAGUAGAGUGAUCGAAAGAUGAAAAGCACUUUGAAAAGAGAGUUAAACAGCACGUGAAAUUGUUGAAAGGGAAGCGCUUGCGACCAGACUCGCCCGCGGGGGUUCAGCCGGUACUCGUACCGGUGUACUCCCCCGUGGGCGGGCCAGCGUCGGUUUGGGCGGCCGGUCAAAGGCCUCCGGAAUGUAUCGCCCUUCGGGGCGUCUUAUAGCCGGGGGUGCAAUGCGGCCAGCCUGGACCGAGGAACGCGCUUCGGCUCGGACGCUGGCGUAAUGGUCGUAAGCGGC
This 538-nucleotide ribosomal RNA is filed under the name Paecilomyces maximus. RNAcentral describes it as "partial large subunit ribosomal RNA". It matches the Rfam family "Eukaryotic large subunit ribosomal RNA", at positions 95 to 648 of the family's 3401-position model. The record is from RNAcentral. Lineage: Eukaryota; Fungi; Ascomycota; Eurotiomycetes; Eurotiales; Thermoascaceae.